AAUCAUGUCGCUUAAUUAAGAGCAUUUGAUGUAAUGAUCACCUGGAUCAUCUCCUCUUUUAUACAUAAAUGAUGUGAUUAAUUAGUAUCUAAUAAAAAACAAGUAAAUGAUAAAACAAUGGGGGCAAUGUCCAUGGAAGAGCAAAACCCUAAAAGGAAAUAUAAAUCCAAACCCAAUUAUUUUAAUAAGUUAAUAAAACAAUAAUUGAGUGUAAACACAGUCUCGGAGGAAAAAUUUUAAAAUAAAAUCAUUGUAUGUGUAAUAAUAAAUAAUUGAUUACUUAAAUCUUAUCAUAAUAAACGAUUAUAAUAUACCCGACGUACAUACAACAUUGUACUUACUAAUAACGCUAUAUAUAUUUUGAUGAUGCUUUAAAAACAUUAAGGUUAAUUAUUAUUUAUUCCAUCGAUAAUAUCAAAAUUAAUGAUUUAGUUCUCAUAUUUUCAUAAAUCUAUGAUUUAGUCCCUCAAAUGAUUUUGUAAGCUAUCUCGUUUCCCUGUUCAUUUUUGUCAAUUUAACAUACAAUCAAGAGACUAAAAGGUGGUCAAUGAACGAUAAAAUUAUUAAUAAUAAUAAAAAUUCUUUAGACACAAAAAUGUUUAUAAUAGUUAAAUGUUAAAGACAAAAGCGUUCAUCAUUAAUAGCAAAAAUUGAGAUGAAGAGACAAAAAUAUAAGAUAGAAUCAAAAUUUAAGAAUAUAUACUUUCAUUUAUUUUCUAAAAUGUAGGGAAUAAGUGUAAACUAUGACAUGACGUACGGACUAAUAAUAAUUUUCCUUCGUACGGACUAAAAAUAAUAAUUUUCCUAAAAUAUUAUCAUAUAUUAAUAGCAGACUCUAGUUAAGUUAUGUGGUGCAAAGCAAUAGGACGUGCCAGAGUAUAUAGGGAUGGAUGGUAGAUAGCACAAGCUUUUUAGAAAAAUAGCAUCAUAUUAUAUAUGAAUUAUUAAACUUGGAUGGUACAAAGGAUGGACUGUUAAAAACACACAUAUGUAUUUGCACAGAGAAAAAGGUCUGCUGCUAGGGUUUAUAUUUGUGUGAUCUGUAACUUAGUGAUUGAGGAAUAUUUGAAGGCAUUGAAAAGAAAAUCAACUUGAGCCAAGAAGUUGCAACAAUAGGAAAUAAAAUAUGAAUUAUAUACUAAGGAAUGACAUCACAUUUCUGAUGAAAACAUCAUUGGUACAUGUCUCAUAUUUUUUGUCUGCGAAUCUCUGCUAACCGACACAGUACUAGAAUAUUUCUUCAAUUUCUAUCUCUUCAGAAGAAUGAAAAGCUUACAUAACAUCUUAUCAAAGAACAAGAAACUAUAUAUCAAAGAAUAUUAUAUAGCAAGAUAGUAAUAAUUUUAAUUGAUCUAGCUAUAUAUAUAUAUUCUAUAAAAUUUAAUCAAAAAACCUGAAAUUUUCCUUUGGUAUUUAAGUUCAUAGCAAGUGUAAAACUAUGGUAUUUUAUGAAGAAGCUUGAUUUAGAAAAUAUAUAAGAGCAUACCUUUGGGGAUCUUAUCGUAUUUCCGCAUGGAAAAGCUUGGUGUGAGGAAUGAAGCCUGGUCCGAGAUCAAUCUAUGAAAUUAUCAAGUAUUUAUUUCCAAGAUCAAGAGUGAAAAAAAAUGGAAAAGGACAUGAACAUAAAUGUAAAAUUUUCAAGCUCUCUCUCUCUCUCUAGAGGCACACACAUAGAAAGAGAAGAAAGAAAGAAAAGAAUCUUGAAUCAACUUUUUAUCAGAAGCCCUCCCUUCUUCAAUCUCUCUCACAGACAUACACAGAGAGAGGAGAGAAGAGGAGAGGAUUUUGAAACUUUACAAGAAAAAUCUUCCUUCUUCAAUCUCUCUGUUCAUGCAACAACUAAUUAAACCAACACUAAGACUCAAAAUUAAACUCAAUCCCCAUCUUGAAACAAAAGAAAACAGACCAAAACCAAACAGGAAAGGAGAAACAAGGAUCUUGGAUCAAACUUCAUUCCAAACACCCCUUUUCCUUCUUCCAAGGAUUCUUGAGGUAGAGCUAGCUGGCUACCUCUUUAUUCUCAUGAUUCAACAAUCAAAACCCAUCAAGCAAGGCUGCAAAGUACUCAAGUUUUCAAAUGAUAUAUAUCAAAGUAUAGGUGAGACAAAGGGAGUAAAUGGAGGGAAGAGAAAAGAUAAACAAAGAGAUAAAUGAGGAAAAGCACAUGAUAGACAGGUCAUUUUAAGAGUAAAAUAAUGAAAAGGCUGGUAGGUUUUGGAGGGAUAAUGUUGUCUUCUUCUAAGGCUUUAUUAGAAGUGCCUUUGGAGGCUUUU
This 2273-nucleotide unclassified non-coding RNA is filed under the name Hevea brasiliensis (rubber tree). Lineage: Eukaryota; Viridiplantae; Streptophyta; Magnoliopsida; Malpighiales; Euphorbiaceae. The record is from RNAcentral.